RNAcentral lists this ribosomal RNA (478 nucleotides) under uncultured bacterium. Its description in RNAcentral is "partial 16S ribosomal RNA". It matches the Rfam family "Bacterial small subunit ribosomal RNA", at positions 28 to 523 of the family's 1533-position model. The record is from RNAcentral.
GACGAACGCUGGCGGCGUGCUUAACACAUGCAAGUCGAACGGUAAGGCCCUUCGGGGUACACGAGUGGCGAACGGGUGAGUAACACGUGGGUGAUCUGCCCUGCACUUCGGGAUAAGCCUGGGGAACUGGGUCUAAUACCGGAUAGGACCACUGCCUGCAUGGGUGGUGGUGGAAAGCUUUUGCGGUGUGGGAUGGGCCCGCGGCCUAUCAGCUUGUUGGUGGGGUGAUGGCCUACCAAGGCGACGACGGGUAGCCGGCCUGAGAGGGUGACCGGCCACACUGGGACUGAGAUACGGCCCAGACUCCUACGGGAGGCAGCAGUGGGGAAUAUUGCACAAUGGGCGCAAGCCUGAUGCAGCGACGCCGCGUGAGGGAUGACGGCCUUCGGGUUGUAAACCUCUUUCAGCACAGACGAAGCGCAAGUGACGGUAUGUGCAGAAGAAGGACCGGCCAACUACGUGCCAGCCGCCGCCGUAA